GUUGACCUCGGAUCAGGUAGGACUACCCGCUGAACUUAAGCAUAUCAAUAAGCGGAGGAAAAGAAACCAACAGGGAUUGCCCCAGUAACGGCGAGUGAAGCGGCAACAGCUCAGAUUUGGAAUCUGGCCCCCAGGGCCCGAGUUGUAAUCUGGAGAGGAUGCUUCUGGCGCGGCGCCUUCCGAGUUCCCUGGAACGGGACGCCGGAGAGGGUGAGAGCCCCGUACGGUCGGACGCCUAGCCUCUGUGAAGCUCCUUCGACGAGUCGAGUAGUUUGGGAAUGCUGCUCAAAAUGGGAGGUAAAUUUCUUCUAAAGCUAAAUACCGGCCAGAGACCGAUAGCGCACAAGUAGAGUGAUCGAAAGAUGAAAAGCACUUUGAAAAGAGG
Molecule: ribosomal RNA, 385 nt
Filed under: Grosmannia taigensis
Lineage: Eukaryota; Fungi; Ascomycota; Sordariomycetes; Ophiostomatales; Ophiostomataceae
Also listed under: 1 other name
Description: eukaryotic LSU rRNA
Rfam family: Eukaryotic large subunit ribosomal RNA
Source: RNAcentral